GAGUUUGAUCCUGGCUCAGGAUGAACGCUAGCUACAGGCUUAACACAUGCAAGUCGAGGGGCAUCAGGAAGAAAGCUUGCUUUCUUUGCUGGCGACCGGCGCACGGGUGAGUAACACGUAUCCAACCUGCCGAUGACUCGGGGAUAGCCUUUCGAAAGAAAGAUUAAUACCCGAUGGUAUAUCUGAAAGGCAUCUUUCAGCUAUUAAAGAAUUUCGGUCAUUGAUGGGGAUGCGUUCCAUUAGGUUGUUGGCGGGUAACGGCCCACCAAG
This 270-nucleotide ribosomal RNA is filed under the name uncultured bacterium. RNAcentral's name for it is "partial 16S ribosomal RNA". It matches the Rfam family "Bacterial small subunit ribosomal RNA", at positions 9 to 272 of the family's 1533-position model. The record is from RNAcentral.